CCUUCGAUAGCUCAGUUGGAAGAGCGUGGGACUGUAAUUGGUUAACAAUUCGGCUCAAAUCGCUAUCCCAAGGUCACUGGUUCGAUCCCGGUUCGAAGGA
Molecule: non-coding RNA, 100 nt
Organism: Pleurotus ostreatoroseus
Lineage: Eukaryota; Fungi; Basidiomycota; Agaricomycetes; Agaricales; Pleurotaceae
Source: the annotation of a GenBank genome assembly